GACGAACGCUGGCGGCGUGCUUAACACAUGCAAGUCGAACGGAAAGGCCCUGCGUUUGUGGGGUGCUCGAGUGGCGAACGGGUGAGUAACACGUGAGUAACCUGCCCUUGACUUUGGGAUAACUUCAGGAAACUGGGGCUAAUACCGGAUAGGAGCUCCUGCUGCAUGGUGGGGGUUGGAAAGUUUCGGCGGUUGGGGAUGGACUCGCGGCUUAUCAGCUUGUUGGUGGGGUAGGGGCUUACCAAGGCUUUGACGGGUAGCCGGCCUGAGAGGGUGACCGGCCACAGUGGGACUGAGAGACGGCCCAGACGCCUACGGGACGCAGCAGUGGGGAAUAUUGCACAAUGGGCGGAAGCCAGAUGCAGCAACGCCGCGUGCGGGAUGACGGCCUUCGGGUUGUAAACCGCUUUCGCCUGUGACGAAGCGUGAGUGACGGUAAUGGGUAAAGAAGCACCGGCUAACUACGUG
This 468-nucleotide ribosomal RNA is filed under the name uncultured bacterium. Its description in RNAcentral is "partial 16S ribosomal RNA". It matches the Rfam family "Bacterial small subunit ribosomal RNA", at positions 28 to 507 of the family's 1533-position model. The record is from RNAcentral.